GUGGUCAGGUAGAGAAUACUCAGGCGCUUGAGAGAACUCGGGUGAAGGAACUAGGCAAAAUGGUGCCGUAACUUCGGGAGAAGGCACGCUGGCGGUAGGUAAAGUCCCUCGCGGACGGCGCUGAAGCUAGUCGAAGAUACCAGCUGGCUGCAACUGUUUAUUAAAAACACAGCACUGUGCAAACACGAAAGUGGACGUAUACGGUGUGACGCCUGCCCGGUGCUGGAAGGUUAAUUGAUGGGGUCAGCCGCAAGG
RNAcentral lists this ribosomal RNA (255 nucleotides) under Proteus mirabilis. RNAcentral describes it as "partial 23S ribosomal RNA". It matches the Rfam family "Bacterial large subunit ribosomal RNA", at positions 1663 to 1899 of the family's 2925-position model. The record is from RNAcentral. Lineage: Bacteria; Pseudomonadati; Pseudomonadota; Gammaproteobacteria; Enterobacterales; Morganellaceae. RNAcentral also lists the same sequence under 1 other name.